Molecule: ribosomal RNA, 253 nt
Filed under: uncultured bacterium
Lineage: Bacteria
Description: partial 16S ribosomal RNA
Rfam family: Bacterial small subunit ribosomal RNA
Source: RNAcentral
UACGGAGGAUCCAAGCGUUAUCCGGAUUUAUUGGGUUUAAAGGGUGCGUAGGUGGCCUAUUAAGUCAGGGGUGAAAGACGGUAGCUUAACUAUCGCAGUGCCUUUGAUACUGAUGGGCUUGAAUACACUUGAGGUAGGCGAAAUGUGACAAGUAGCGGUGAAAUGCAUAGAUAUGUCACAGAACACCAAUUGCGAAGGCAGCUUACUAAAGUGUUAUUGACACUGAGGCGCGAAAGCGUGGGGAUCAAACAGG